GGCCUACCCCAUAGCUAUUGCUGUGGCAGGGUCGAAAAUCCCGAUGAAGAUACUGAACCCCACGUUCAGCGACUCUUCAUCGGGUCAUAUCGGGAAACCGGUAUGUGGUCGCAAGACC
RNAcentral lists this small RNA (118 nucleotides) under unclassified sequences. RNAcentral's name for it is "LOOT RNA". It matches the Rfam family "LOOT RNA". Rfam says of the family: Latescibacteria, OD1/Parcubacteria, OP11, TM7. Lineage (Microgenomates, aka OP11) The record is from Rfam by way of RNAcentral.